Lolium perenne is the source of this 3030-nucleotide RNA transcript. RefSeq lists it as uncharacterized. NCBI's taxonomy places the organism in Eukaryota, Viridiplantae, Streptophyta, Magnoliopsida, Poales, Poaceae. The record is from RefSeq and is a predicted model, not a curated record.
CCAACCUAACCAACAAAUCUCGAGAGGCAGCCAGCAGACUCCAAACGAUUCCCCACUACUCUCCUCUCCCUGAUCGAUCUUGCCGCCGGCACAGUCCCUCCGCCGCCUGCCCCCUCCCUCCCUCGCCGGACAUCAUCCACCGCUCCUCUAAUUCCUCACCGCAGCUCUAACCCGCCUCCUGGAUGAAUACACAACGGAAGAGGAUCCGCGUGGCUCCUGGUGGUGGCCGCCCGAGCAGCAGCGACAACAAGGGCGGCCAGACCGUGGCUCUCGCCGCCGCGCGCCAGACGCCGGCAGGGGGAUCGAUGGAGGAGGGCCUGGUGGUGGCCUGACCAGGAUGCUGCAGCCGGCGACCACCUCCCCGACCUUCUCCCCACGCGCGCCGGCAACAUCCCUGGACCUGCUGCUCCAGACGCCAUCCACCUCUCCGUCACGCUGCAGCCUCCAGUCCAGGAAUGCUUGGACGGGCCUGACACGGAUAAGAGCAAAGCCGCGGUGAACUAUUUGGUGUUUGACUGAACUUUGCUGAGAGCAGCGCCUACGGCCUCACCAUGCUCGUCCGCCUCCUCGGCCACGUCCUACCUAUCCGCCAUCCAGCUAUACAUAGCAACUAGCCUCACCAUCUGCAGGAGGUGCACGGGGAGCGAAACGGAUUCCUGGAGCAGCGUUGGCAGCGAGAGGUUUGUAGGGCCAGCAUACAAGUGUUGACUUGUCAUCGAAGCCUGAAUUUCCAGUACAUGGAGUGGGACUGACCUUAUGGCACAGUGCCCUGUCUGUCUCAUAAGAUAAUCGUGGCUGCGGUUUAUGGCUCGGCAUCGACAUCGCCGGUGGAUGCACCCCUGGAGCUAGGCUUCCACUUGUCUCUCGCGCCGAAGUAGACUGGUGGUGAUCUCUCUUGGCAGCGGAUGAGGGGCGCUGCUGGUGUGGCCAGAGAGAGCAAUGUCGUCCUCGCGUCCUGCUGCUUGUCAUCAACUAUGGCGAUGAGAGGUUCAACUGUAGAGAAUACCACAUUGUCUUGCGCAAGGAUUUGACAAACAGUGAUGUUGGAAAUAUCGGAAGAAUUCUGCUGCCAAAGAGGGAUGCGGAGGCUAACCUUCCAGCUUUGCUUGAACGGGAUGGCCUGAUACUAAAGAUGGAUGACUUCAAGCUUCCCGCUACAUGGAACUUUAAGUACAGGUUCUGGCCUAACAACAAGAGCAGAAUGUAUAUCAUUGAAAGUACUGGAGAAUUUGUGAAGUCCCAUAGUCUCGAGGCAGGAUACACACUCAUCAUCUACAAAAGCCUGGAGUCCUGAAAAUUUUUGGCAUGUGAUUUUGGGUUACAGAAGAAUUUCAGAAGAAUACUCACCAAGCCUCCCGAUUCGGUCGUCACCGCCUCAGCUAUGUCCCUGCAUGAUUUCCCUCGCCGAUGUGGGGUGUCAGACAUUAGGAUGCGACGCCGGCGACACGAGUCACUUAGGGGAGAACCCAUCAGCAGGCGCAGGCUUCUGGUGUCCGCGUCCUUCACCACCGCCAUGUUCCUCUCGCCGGUGGCCACGAAAUCCAGCGGGGGCGUGGCAGCACUCCGAGCGGUUACAACUACUGCUCUCCGAUGUCGUCCACUCGCAGCAGUCUAUGAACUGUCCACAACUACCUCGUCAGGGACGGCUCCCUCCAUGUCUGCAACACCAUACAGACACGCAGAGGGAUGUAUUGGUUCCUGCUCUUGAUGGCAGUGACCUGAUUGCAAGUUCAAAGACGGGAGCUGGAGAAGGCAGUCUUGGGUGAGGUCAUUUCCCUCGAGAUUUGGUUACAUGUGUACACAAUGGCAGUAGCAUUGGUUACAUUUUAAGUGUUACAAACAAGUAAAAUUUUGUUGGCCUAUCAAUUUGUGGAUAAAGAGGAAUUUCAGAGGUUACAGGAUCUCAAAACAGCUUGGUGAAUGGUCAAAGGCGUGACAACAGUCCAUCAAAAUUUAAUGUGUUUGAAUUUGAGCUCAAACAUUUUUCUUCUGGCUCAGACAAAAUAGCUAGAUCGAAGGUUGUACUUCCAGCCAUCAUCAGCACGAGCCAGCAAGGUAUUUUAUUUGUUAUAGUUUCCACACUGAUUGCUAUAAUAUUUAUUCAAAACUAAGCAGCCCAUGUUAGAAGGACCUAUGACAGAUGCUACUACUAACAAUAAUUUGGUCAGUAUUUUUCCAUCCGUUAUGUCGCCCUUAAAAUUACCAUUGCUACUAUCCUCGCAUGUAUACUUUGAAUUCAGGUUAGAUCUGAAGACGGCGAAAACUCACACUCAAAUGGAACUGGUGAAAUUUCAUUGUACUCCCCGCCUGCCACAACAAAUAUGCCUCCGACACUGAACAUGUCGAGCGUCAGAAUACUUUGAAGAAGUAGAUGGGCCUCAUGGGAGGGGUGGAAGACACACACUGCACCAGUGAUUCAGAGCAUCCGGUGGCAGUACCUUUUGCAGGGAGUACUAGGGCGGGAAAGGUUGCAGCAAUGGCACGCUGAAACGAGAAAGGGGGUUCCAGUGGAGCAAAGGGAAGGAGGAGAAUGGCAUUCAACAGAAAUUGGACUAUUCAUGUUAAGUGAUACUGUGAAGUUGCUAAUUACCUUACAACUUGUCCUUGUUAUGAAUAGAUAAGGUGGUGAAGAUCUGCGGCAUCUUGUGUCCUUUUGGUUGCGAUUUCUUUUAAGCAGAGCAAGAUUUUAUGUUACAGGUUCAAAGCAGCUCUUGCAGCGAAUAUAUGGGCCUUCUUUGCGAGAUUCAGGUCCUAUGCUCCAGACUUCAACAAGCCGGUUCGGUGUAACUGUGUGUGAAAUAUAAAGUCACCAUCAACGGUAAUAUUGAAACUGAAGGCGGGGAGGAGGUGUUGGUAUACAUUAUUUUGUCUUUGAUAAUUAUAUUUUAUGUACCCUAGGCUAGGAUUCAAAUGUAAAUUGAUCUGAGCAAGGGCAUACAGUUUAAAACAAGAUUAAAUUAUACAGUGGAUAUAUAAAAUUUAAACAAAUGUAACGUCAUGCUCUUCUUUCUAGCAAGAGUUUGAACAUCA